This is an unclassified non-coding RNA of Dipodomys ordii (Ord's kangaroo rat), 282 nucleotides long. Its record names the gene 7SK. It matches the Rfam family "7SK RNA". From Rfam's summary of the family: 7SK was discovered as an abundant small nuclear RNA in the mid-70s but a possible function has only recently been suggested. Two independent studies have found that 7SK RNA binds the CDK9/cyclin T complex (known as elongation factor P-TEFb). P-TEFb activates transcription by phosphorylating the C-terminal domain of RNA polymerase II. NCBI's taxonomy places the organism in Eukaryota, Metazoa, Chordata, Mammalia, Rodentia, Heteromyidae. The record is from Ensembl.
GGAUGUGAGGGUGGACUGGCUGUGGCCCUGUCACCCCAUGGAUCUCAGGGUGAGCCAGGCUGAUCUGGCUGGCGUGGAGGUGUCCCCUUCCUCCAUGGUGCUUUUCCUGUGUCCCUCCUCAAGUUGUGCUCAGGGGAAGAACUGACUCUCCCCAACACAGCGGGUCAUUCUCUGUUAAAGGUACAUGAAUAUACCAUGCAUUCUGCAAAAAGAACCUACAGACCUGUGCUGGUGGCUCACAUCUGAAAUCCAAGCUCCUCAAGAGGCUGAGAGCUGAGGAUU